Oncorhynchus keta (chum salmon) is the source of this 328-nucleotide long non-coding RNA. RefSeq lists it as uncharacterized. The transcript has 3 exons. Lineage: Eukaryota; Metazoa; Chordata; Actinopteri; Salmoniformes; Salmonidae. The record is from RefSeq and is a predicted model, not a curated record.
CGGAGCUCCUGGAGGGGGAAGGAAAAGGGAAGAGGAAAGGGAGAAGAGGAGAGACAGGUGAGAGGAGGAGUGGAGAAGGGAGAGACAGGUGAGAGGAGAGACAGGUGAGAGGAGGAGUGGAGAAGAGGAGAGACAGGUGAGAGGAGGAGUGGAGAAGAGGAGAGACAGGUGAGAGGAGGAGUAGAGAAGGGAGAGACAGGUGAGAGGAGGAGUGGAGAAGAGGAGAGACAGGUGAGAGGAGGAGUGGAGAAGGGAGAGACAGGUGAGAGGAGUAGAGAAGAGGAUAGACAGGUGAGAGGAGGAGUGGAGAAGAGGAGAGACAGGUGAG